UGCGCUUUACCAGCAACAAGGGGGGGAU
This 28-nucleotide small RNA is filed under the name Bombyx mori (domestic silkworm). RNAcentral's name for it is "ovarian small RNA-33970". Lineage: Eukaryota; Metazoa; Arthropoda; Insecta; Lepidoptera; Bombycidae. The record is from RNAcentral.